Molecule: small nuclear RNA, 110 nt
Organism: Suricata suricatta (meerkat)
Lineage: Eukaryota; Metazoa; Chordata; Mammalia; Carnivora; Herpestidae
Source: Ensembl
GAACUGGCUCGGGUAGCACAUAUACUCACGUUGGAAUGAUACAGAAAGUAAUAUUAGCCUGGCCCCUGCACAAGGAUGACCCACAAAUUCGUGAAACUCCAGAGAACUCC